RNAcentral lists this long non-coding RNA (266 nucleotides) under Lathyrus oleraceus (garden pea). RNAcentral describes it as "Pisum sativum (pea) long non-coding RNA (PSAT_LNC031374)". The record is from RNAcentral. Lineage: Eukaryota; Viridiplantae; Streptophyta; Magnoliopsida; Fabales; Fabaceae.
UAUGUUCCUUGAAAAUAAAAAUAAUCAAGCAUUGCAUUUCAUGCAUCAUUUGCAUACAAGUCUUCUUUCGCCAGAUGUCCUAUUGGUUCUUCUUCUGUGCUUCAGCCAAGCUAACUCAUCGAUACAAUACUCGCGCCAAUAAUUCGCGAAUCAUGGAACAUCUAGAGCAAGAGAACAUAGACUUGAAGGAAGAUAUCGCCCGUUUGACUGCCAUGAUGGAGUCAGUCCUAGCUGCUCAAAGUCAACCUUCUCCAAAGCCUGCAACU